GAUGAACGCUGGCGGCGUGCCUAAUACAUGCAAGUCGAGCGAACAGACGAGGAGCUUGCUCCUCUGACGUUAGCGGCGGACGGGUGAGUAACACGUGGAUAACCUACCUAUAAGACUGGGAUAACUUCGGGAAACCGGAGCUAAUACCGGAUAAUAUAUUGAACCGCAUGGUUCAAUAGUGAAAGACGGUUUUGCUGUCACUGAUAGAUGGAUCCGCGCCGCAUUAGCUAGUUGGUAAGGUAACGGCUUACCAAGGCAACGAUGCGUAGCCGACCUGAGAGGGUGAUCGGCCACACUGGAACUGAGACACGGUCCAGACUCCUACGGGAGGCAGCAGUAGGGAAUCGUCCGCAAUGGGCGAAAGCCUGACGGAGCAACGCCGCGUGAGUGAUGAAGGUCUUCGGAUCGUAAAACUCUGUUAUUAGGGAAGAACAAAUGUGUAAGUAACUAUGCACGUCUUGACGGUACCUAAUCAGAAAGCCACGGCUAACUACGUG
RNAcentral lists this ribosomal RNA (497 nucleotides) under uncultured bacterium. Its description in RNAcentral is "partial 16S ribosomal RNA". It matches the Rfam family "Bacterial small subunit ribosomal RNA", at positions 28 to 507 of the family's 1533-position model. The record is from RNAcentral.